AUUGAACGCUGGCGGCAUGCCUUACACAUGCAAGUCGAACGGUAACAGGUCUUCGGAUGCUGACGAGUGGCGAACGGGUGAGUAAUAUAUCGGAACGUGCCCAGUAGUGGGGGAUAGCCCGGCGAAAGCCGGAUUAAUACCGCAUACGACCUUAGGGUGAAAGGGGGGGAUCGCAAGACCUCUCGCUAUUGGAGCGGCCGAUAUCAGAUUAGGUAGUUGGUGGGGUAAAGGCCUACCAAGCCUGCGAUCUGUAGUUGGUCUGAGAGGACGACCAGCCACACUGGGACUGAGACACGGCCCAGACUCCUACGGGAGGCAGCAGUGGGGAAUUUUGGACAAUGGGCGCAAGCCUGAUCCAGCAAUGCCGCGUGCAGGAAGAAGGCCU
RNAcentral lists this ribosomal RNA (385 nucleotides) under uncultured bacterium. Its description in RNAcentral is "bacterial SSU rRNA". It matches the Rfam family "Bacterial small subunit ribosomal RNA", at positions 30 to 417 of the family's 1533-position model. The record is from RNAcentral.